This 494-nucleotide ribosomal RNA is filed under the name uncultured bacterium. RNAcentral describes it as "partial 16S ribosomal RNA". It matches the Rfam family "Bacterial small subunit ribosomal RNA", at positions 28 to 507 of the family's 1533-position model. The record is from RNAcentral.
GACGAACGCUGGCGGCGUGCUUAACACAUGCAAGUCGAACGGUGAAGCGCCUUCCUUUUUGGUGGGUGUGGAUGAGUGGCGAACGGGUGAGUAACACGUGAGUAACCUGCCCCCUUCUUCUGGAUAACCGCAUGAAAGUGUGGCUAAUACGGGAUAUUCUGGGUCUGUCGCAUGAUGGGUCUGGGAAAGAUAUUGUUUCGGUGGGGGAUGGGCUCGCGGCCUAUCAGCUUGUUGGUGGGGUGAUGGCCUACCAAGGCGGUGACGGGUAGCCGGCCUGAGAGGGUGGACGGUCACACUGGGACUGAGACACGGCCCAGACUCCUACGGGAGGCAGCAGUGGGGAAUAUUGCACAAUGGGCGCAUGCCUGAUGCAGCGACGCCGCGUGAGGGAUGGAGGCCUUCGGGUUGUGAACCUCUUUCGCCAGUGAAGCAGGCCUGCCUCGUUUGUGGGUGGGUUGACGGUAGCUGGAUAAGAAGCGCCGGCUAACUACGUG